ACGCUAGCUACAGGCUUAACACAUGCAAGUCGAGGGGCAGCAUGGUCUUAGCUUGCUAAGGCCGAUGGCGACCGGCGCACGGGUGAGUAACACGUAUCCAACCUGCCGUCUACUCUUGGACAGCCUUCUGAAAGGAAGAUUAAUACAAGAUGGCAUCAUGAGUCCGCAUGUUCACAUGAUUAAAGGUAUUCCGGUAGACGAUGGGGAUGCGUUCCAUUAGAUAGUAGGCGGGGUAACGGCCCACCUAGUCUUCGAUGGAUAGGGGUUCUGAGAGGAAGGUCCCCCACAUUGGAACUGAGACACGGUCCAAACUCCUACGGGAGGCAGCAGUGAGGAAUAUUGGUCAAUGGGCGCAGGCCUGAACCAGCCAAGUAGCGUGAAGGAUGACUGCCCUAUGGGUUGUAAACUUCUUUUAUAAAGGAAUAAAGUCGGGUAUGGAUACCCGUUUGCAUGUACUUUAUGAAUAAGGAUCGGCUAACUCCGUGCCAGCAACCGCGGUAAUACGGAGGAUCCGAGCGUUAUCCGGAUUUAUUGGGUUUAAAGGGAGCGUAGAUGGAUGUUUAAGUCAGUUGUGAAAGUUUGCAGCUCAACCGUAAAAUUGCAGUUGAUACUGGAUAUCUUGAGUGCAGUUGAGGCAGGCGGAAUUCGUGGUGUAGCGGUGAAAUGCUUAGAUAUCACGAAGAACUCCGAUUGCGAAGGCAGCCUGCUAAGCUGCAACUGACAUUGAGGCUCGAAAGUGUGGGUAUCAAACAGGAUUAGAUACCCUGGUAGUCCACACGGUAAACGAUGAAUACUCGCUGUUUGCGAUAUACAGCAAGCGGCCAAGCGAAAGCGUUAAGUAUUCCACCUGGGGAGUACGCCGGCAACGGUGAAACUCAAAGGAAUUGACGGGGGCCCGCACAAGCGGAGGAACAUGUGGUUUAAUUCGAUGAUACGCGAGGAACCUUACCCGGGCUUAAAUUGCAGAUGAAUUACGGUGAAAGCCGUAAGCCGCAAGGCAUCUGUGAAGGUGCUGCAUGGUUGUCGUCAGCUCGUGCCGUGAGGUGUCGGCUUAAGUGCCAUAACGAGCGCAACCCUUGUUGUCAGUUACUAACAGGUUCCGCUGAGGACUCUGACAAGACUGCCAUCGUAAGAUGUGAGGAAGGUGGGGAUGACGUCAAAUCAGCACGGCCCUUACGUCCGGGGCUACACACGUGUUACAAUGGGGGGUACAGAGGGCCGCUACCACGCGAGUGGAUGCCAGUCCCCAAAACCUCUCUCAGUUCGGACUGGAGUCUGCAACCCGACUCCACGAAGCUGGAUUCGCUAGUAAUCGCGCAUCAGCCACGGCGCGGUGAAUACGUUCCCGGGCCUUGUACACACCGCCCGUCAAGCCAUGGGAGCCGGGGGUACCUGAAGUGCGUAACCGCGAGGAGCGCCCUAGGGUAAAACUGGUGACUGGGGC
Molecule: ribosomal RNA, 1444 nt
Filed under: uncultured organism
Description: 16S ribosomal RNA
Rfam family: Bacterial small subunit ribosomal RNA
Source: RNAcentral